RNA transcript from Lolium rigidum, 920 nucleotides. RefSeq lists it as uncharacterized. The transcript is spliced from 8 exons. NCBI's taxonomy places the organism in Eukaryota, Viridiplantae, Streptophyta, Magnoliopsida, Poales, Poaceae. The record is from RefSeq and is a predicted model, not a curated record.
UCUCCAUGAGCAACGCCAAGGUUUUGACUGCUGUGCCAGCAUUUGAGUUGGACCCUCCCACAAUAUCUAUGACUUUUGGUGUCAAAGAUUCACCUUUGGGUGGCCGUGAUGGCACUCAUACAGGCUCUAUUGGAAGUUUGGUGUCCUCGGACAGAGUUGGCCAUCCUUACCUGCAACCUCACCAUCUCCGACCUGUCCCUUGCCAGAACCUGCUCGUCCACAUGCUAGACAACCACUGCAUCAAAUGCAACAAGAAGAUCGAGGCUGGAGAAAGUGAAGGCGAGUUUGAGGGCCAGACAUUCUCCUCCUUCUAUUUCCUCUACCUCCCCCUAGAUUUCAACUUGCUCAGAGGUUAAAUCAAUACCGCAAUUGCAAGUUUCUCGGAAGCUUUAUCUUGCAUGAAGUUGGCUAUAUUGACUACUUCGGAGGCUCUUUUGGUAUUCGAUGUGACAUCUCAGUGGGAUAUGUUUUUCCAUUCGAUAGUGUCUCUGCGCUAGGUAUUGGAGAUAUAUUAAAGGACUAAUUCAGAUGUAUGGAAAUGGCUCACAGGUAAGGCUGGCUACCCUCAUCUAGAGCAGGCCAUUAACGAGUGGAUAUGAGUCGGCGAGUGGCGACGGCAAAUUCACCACUUCUACUCCAUGUGCAGGUGCUUAUCAAUGAAUGGUAUGAUGGAUUGACAGCAGAUUUUUGGUCAUGUGGUGUUAUUCUUUACGUGUUAAUGGCUGGAUCCCCCCUUUUGAAGAAAAUGAUCUUUCAACCUCGUAUGACAAGGUACUGGCUUCUUUACUGGUGUGAUGCUCGUGGUCGAUCUUGCGGAUAAUUUUGCCAAAUUGUAGACAUAUAAAUUUCGCUUAUAUUUGGAAGCGAACAUGUUUGUUAAGAAAGUUACAGAUAAUUGCAGCUCACUUUUCAUGCCCAGA